Molecule: ribosomal RNA, 415 nt
Filed under: uncultured bacterium
Lineage: Bacteria
Description: bacterial SSU rRNA
Rfam family: Bacterial small subunit ribosomal RNA
Source: RNAcentral
CGGCAGCUAUAAUGCAGUCGACGGUAGACUGAACUUCGGUUUAGUUGAGAGUGGCGCACGGGUGCGUAACGCGUAUGCAACCUACCCUUAACAGGGGGAUAGCCCGGAGAAAUCCGGAUUAAUACCCCAUAGUAUUUACAGAUGGCAUCUGAAGUAAAUUAAAGAUUUAUCGGUUAAGGAUGGGCAUGCGUGACAUUAGAUAGUUGGUGAGGUAACGGCUCACCAAGUCUACGAUGUCUAGGGGUUCUGAGAGGAUGAUCCCCCACACUGGUACUGAGAUACGGACCAGACUCCUACGGGAGGCAGCAGUAGGGAAUAUUGGUCAAUGGGCGAGAGCCUGAACCAGCCAUGCCGCGUGCAGGAAGACGGCCUUCUGGGUUGUAAACUGCUUUUAUAUGGGAAGAAAAAGGCCAUG